AAAUUGAAGAGUUUGAUCAUGGCUCAGAUUGAACGCUGGCGGCAGGCCUAACACAUGCAAGUCGAACGGUAACAGGAAGCAGCUUGCUGCUUUGCUGACGAGUGGCGGACGGGUGAGUAAUGUCUGGGAAACUGCCUGAUGGAGGGGGAUAACUACUGGAAACGGUGGCUAAUACCGCAUAACGUCGCAAGACCAAAGAGGGGGACCUUCAGGCCUCUUGCCAUCAGAUGUGCCCAGAUGGGAUUAGCUUGUUGGUGAGGUAACGGCUCACCAAGGCGACGAUCCCUAGCUGGUCUGAGAGGAUGACCAGCCACACUGGAACUGAGACACGGUCCAGACUCCUACGGGAGGCAGCAGUGGGGAAUAUUGCACAAUGGGCGCAAGCCUGAUGCAGCCAUGCCGCGUGUAUGAAGAAGGCCUUCGGGUUGUAAAGUACUUUCAGCGGGGAGGAAGGUGUUGUGGUUAAUAACCGCAGCAAUUGACGUUACCCGCAGAAGAAGCACCGGCUAACUCCGU
RNAcentral lists this ribosomal RNA (516 nucleotides) under Salmonella enterica. RNAcentral describes it as "bacterial SSU rRNA". It matches the Rfam family "Bacterial small subunit ribosomal RNA", at positions 1 to 506 of the family's 1533-position model. Lineage: Bacteria; Pseudomonadati; Pseudomonadota; Gammaproteobacteria; Enterobacterales; Enterobacteriaceae. The record is from RNAcentral.